Molecule: non-coding RNA, 24 nt
Filed under: Cricetulus griseus (Chinese hamster)
Lineage: Eukaryota; Metazoa; Chordata; Mammalia; Rodentia; Cricetidae
Source: RNAcentral
AAAGACUUCAGAGAGACAUGGAAU